CACAGAGUUUUGGGGUGGAGGAGGUAAUGGCAAAAUCUCUUCAAGAUUCCAACUUGGAGAGUUAAUACUAAUUAACAGGAUGCUAGACAUUGUUCGAAUGCAUUAUACAUACAAGCUCAUCUGCACAAUAAACUGAAUAAAUGUCUCUGCUAGACUUCAGUUGCCUCCACCCCUAAAAUUCGUAUGUUGGGACUUCAGUGUAUUGUAAAGUUGUACAUGCAAAGAAGAACUAAAUAUAUGGAAUAGUAUACACCCCACCUACACCAGCCACCUGAAAGAGAGAGUGAUAAGUUUUUAUCUUUAGGACAGCACCUCUCAGUAUUGCUAGAAGUAUUUUAGAAGUC
Long non-coding RNA from Tupaia belangeri chinensis (Chinese tree shrew), 344 nucleotides. RefSeq lists it as uncharacterized. The transcript is spliced from 4 exons. The record is from RefSeq and is a predicted model, not a curated record. Lineage: Eukaryota; Metazoa; Chordata; Mammalia; Scandentia; Tupaiidae.